CCCUACGAUGAAAGUAGCAGGACAAUGGAACAUAUCCAUUGACUUUUUGUCGACUCCAAAUUUUGACCUUUAGUUAAGCGUGCUUGGGCGAGAGUAGUACUAGGAUGGGUGACCUCCCGAGAAGUCCUCGUGUUGUAUCCC
This is a ribosomal RNA of Arabidopsis thaliana (thale cress), 141 nucleotides long. The record is from Rfam. NCBI's taxonomy places the organism in Eukaryota, Viridiplantae, Streptophyta, Magnoliopsida, Brassicales, Brassicaceae.